Molecule: ribosomal RNA, 568 nt
Filed under: Trametes corrugata
Lineage: Eukaryota; Fungi; Basidiomycota; Agaricomycetes; Polyporales; Polyporaceae
Description: eukaryotic LSU rRNA
Rfam family: 5.8S ribosomal RNA (bases 182-335)
Source: RNAcentral
UUCCGUAGGUGAACCUGCGGAGGGAUCAUUACCGAGUUAUUCAACUCAUCAACCCUGUGAACAUACCUAAACGUUGCUUCGGCGGGAAUAGACGGCCCCGUAAAACGGGCCGCCCCCGCCAGAGGACCCUUAACUCUGUUUCUAUAAUGUUUCUUCUGAGUAAAACAAGCAAAUAAAUUAAAACUUUCAACAACGGAUCUCUUGGCUCUGGCAUCGAUGAAGAACGCAGCGAAAUGCGAUAAGUAAUGUGAAUUGCAGAAUUCAGUGAAUCAUCGAAUCUUUGAACGCACAUUGCGCCCGCCAGUAUUCUGGCGGGCAUGCCUGUUCGAGCGUCAUUACAACCCUCAGGCCCCCGGGCCUGGCGUUGGGGAUCGGCGGAGCCCCCCGUGGGCACACGCCGUCCCCCAAAUACAGUGGCGGUCCCGCCGCAGCUUCCAUCGCGUAGUAGCUAACACCUCGCGACUGGAGAGCGGCGCGGCCACGCCGUAAAACACCCAACUCUUCUGAAGUUGACCUCGAAUCAGGUAGGAAUGCCCGCUGAACUUAAGCAUAUCAAUAAGCGGAGGAA